RNAcentral lists this transfer RNA (85 nucleotides) under Felis catus (domestic cat). It matches the Rfam family "tRNA". Rfam says of the family: Transfer RNA (tRNA) molecules are approximately 80 nucleotides in length. Their secondary structure includes four short double-helical elements and three loops (D, anti-codon, and T loops). Further hydrogen bonds mediate the characteristic L-shaped molecular structure. tRNAs have two regions of fundamental functional importance: the anti-codon, which is responsible for specific mRNA codon recognition, and the 3' end, to which the tRNAs corresponding amino acid is attached (by aminoacyl-tRNA synthetases). tRNAs cope with the degeneracy of the genetic code in two manners: having more than one tRNA (with a specific anti-codon) for a particular amino acid; and 'wobble' base-pairing, i.e. permitting non-standard base-pairing at the 3rd anti-codon position. The record is from Rfam by way of RNAcentral. RNAcentral also lists the same sequence under 1 other name. Lineage: Eukaryota; Metazoa; Chordata; Mammalia; Carnivora; Felidae.
GCCUGGGUGGCUCAGUCGGUUGAGCGUCCGACUUCAGCUCAGGUCACGAUCUCGCGGUCCGUGAGUUCAAGCCCCACGUCAGGCU